CUGGCUUUUUAGACUAUUUCUUUUCUCAGGUUGCUCCUCCUCUUCCUCCUCACUUGGAUAACACCAGCUGUGGUAUAGGUGUAAGGUACAAGAAAAAAGGUACACAUCAUGUGUGGGGAAGAAGAGAAGAAAAGGUUAAAGAUGCAAAAUGGUGGUAGAAGUAGUGGUAGAAUUGUUAAGACAGAAGGGUACAUAGGAAGGCAGGUAGAAAAGUGCCAGUAUAGGCCCUCUGGACUCAGUAUUUACCUUUUUUUAAAAUUUUUUUUAUUUGUCCUUGUCUUCUUAUUUCUGUUUGUUCUUCUAUCAUUUUAUAACUUGAUUACUUUUGUUUUUUGUAUGACAUUUUGAAUGGUUUUCUCUGGGGAAGUGUCCUCACAAUACCUCAAGUGGAUUGUUUUUAAAAGCUGUAUUGUUUUCAGGCUAUGUCUGAAUAACUCCUCCUUGACAUAUUUACCUUGAUAAACAAGCUUUUUUAGACUCCUGCAGAAUAUUUCCCAUAAAAGCAGCAAAAGCCCAGGAUGUUCUCUGAAGGUUGCUUCGUUUAAUGUCAACUUCUCUUCAGUUAUCCAAGUUUGUUUAUGAAUUAAUAAAGGAGCACAUUUUUUUAUAUCCUUAUCUACUCCAAAUCAUGGCUAGGUAAUACCAAAAUUGGGACUUUGGGUAUUGUUUCCAGAUGAAGCAUGUGAUAUCUUUAAUACUAACAAGCCUAUUCAAGCACACUUCUCAUGAGAAAAGUAGUACUGAUAAAAUAGAGAAUAUUGCCUCAAAAUAAAUCCACUUUAAAGUAGUAGUAACCAAUAAUAAGCACAUUAAUAAUAUUCCAGUAUCCUUUCAGGAAAAGAAAAUGCAAGCAGUGCUUGUGAGUAUCCUAAAUAUUGAGUGAGGAUCACUGGUAAAGAGCUCCAUGAAGGAAGCAGGUGCUUUGUUUGGGUUACUCAUAGGUUAAAGAAAUCCAUGCCAUUUUUGUGUGUUGUUUUUUGCUAGUUUCCCCUAUCUGGAGGAGGGCACAGGGAGGUGCUCAGCUUGUUGGGUUCUCAAACCAAGCGCUAUCAGGUCUGGGAGGGUGGAAGUGGCAAAACAGAUUAGGAAACACUCCUGCCCUGAAGGUCUUGUGUCUCCUUGUGUUAGAAACAAGAGUGAGUCCUGUGGAAAUUGUGAUUAAUUUUGCCUCAUAUUGAGCACGUGAAGGAAAUCUAACAGGUUUCGUGCACAUAGAGAUUACUCUCAGCAGUAGAACAUCUUGUUUUAUUUAUGUUCUGAUCUUCCAGACAAGGUCUGUUAAUGGAGAAGGGCAUGUAGACCAAAACAUAACAGAAAAGGAUUAAAAGAAUGGGGUGAUGGUGUUUUCUGGACAUUCUUUUUGGUGGCAAUUUUGAAUUUGUUUAUUCAGACAAAUUUUGUGUGAUUACUGUAAUUCUGAAUCUGCUGUGUCUUGUAGGUAACAAAGCAACUCAGCCUUUACUGAGGGAGAGAUUCAGGAGUGACCAACUGGGGCAGAUCAUGGCAAGGGAAUUUCUGCCCAUGAUGUCAACAGAAAAAUUAUGAUUGAUUGAGCCUCUGUUAUUCUCUUGGUGUUCAAACCUGCUAUGAGGGAGCAAGAGGCAAUAAAGGAAGUUGAACACUGAGGAAGUGUUUCAAACUGUGUUGUUUUCCCUGCUAUAUCAAACAUUCAGUGGGCACACCCCCAACACUGUUCUCCAUGUCCAAAAAAAGAGAACUAAGAUGAAUUGUACCUGGCUCUAGAUGGCCUUUACUGUAACUGGCAAUGGGCUGUGAUACUGAGAAGACAACACUCAGAGCAAGAUGUUAAAGUGUCUUCCAAGACAGCAGUGGUGUUGGACACUUGCACUCUUAGGAAGAAAACUGAAUCGUUUUUGGAUGAGUAGCUCUCGUGAACCAAAAAAUUAAACCAAUGAUCCAGAACCAGCUUCAUAAGACAGGGAAAGCAGUAGAUCUGUGUGCUCCAAUCUGGUGCAAAAGAGAAAAGAGCUUCCUACCUCUCAAAAUUACGAUAAAGGCUGGAAGUGAGGCCGGGAAGAGGACCUGUGAUGAAAUCUUACCUUUUGUAAAUACUUUCACAUGAAUGGUGAGGUAGGAAUAUGGUAAGUCAGAGAAUCUUUAUUAAAGGGUUCUUGUUAUAUACACAGAAAGGCGACUGAAAAGUACAUUCACAUAUUUCAGUUUGUCUGUGUUGGAAUACUAAGUGGAGUAUAACAGCAACUAGGCAUUUAUCAGCUUGCACUUGGGGCUUCAGAGUAGUCCAAAUCUGUUCUUGAAAUAGUCAAAAUGUUUAUGUGAAACUAUGCAGAAAAUUACACUAAUAAAUUUAUAUGUAAACUUUAAAUAAAA
Molecule: non-coding RNA, 2349 nt
Organism: Taeniopygia guttata (zebra finch)
Lineage: Eukaryota; Metazoa; Chordata; Aves; Passeriformes; Estrildidae
Source: RefSeq, a predicted model, not a curated record